GUUUUCACUUUGGCAGUAUAUGUAUUAAAAUUGAAAGGACAGAGAAGAUUAGCAUGGUCUCUGAGCAACCAUACAUUAAAUUUGUGGAGAAUCCCGUAUAAUU
Molecule: small nuclear RNA, 103 nt
Filed under: Chinchilla lanigera (long-tailed chinchilla)
Lineage: Eukaryota; Metazoa; Chordata; Mammalia; Rodentia; Chinchillidae
Source: RNAcentral